Callithrix jacchus (white-tufted-ear marmoset) is the source of this 126-nucleotide small nuclear RNA. Its record names the gene U4. It matches the Rfam family "U4 spliceosomal RNA". Rfam says of the family: U4 small nuclear RNA (U4 snRNA) is a component of the major U2-dependent spliceosome. The structure of U4 snRNA from yeast and human has been reported. The record is from Ensembl. Lineage: Eukaryota; Metazoa; Chordata; Mammalia; Primates; Cebidae.
AGCUUUGUGCGUGGCGGUAUCAUAGCCAAUGAGGUUUCUUCCAGGCAUGAUUAUUGCUAAUUGAAAACUUUUCCCAAUACCCCACCAUGAUGACGCAUUGGCAAUUUUUGACAGUCUCUAUGAAGA